Molecule: long non-coding RNA, 1306 nt
Filed under: Chrysemys picta bellii (western painted turtle)
Lineage: Eukaryota; Metazoa; Chordata; Testudines; Emydidae
Description: lncRNA (ENSCPBG00000004932.1)
Source: RNAcentral
GGUUCACAUUGGGGGAGCUGGAUCCCACAGCCCUGGGUGACCCCAUCCCCAGCAUCCUGCAUUGGGAAGCUGGAUCCCACAGCCCUGGGGGAACCCCACUCUCAGGUUACACAUUGGCGUGCUGGAUCCCACAGCCCCAGGAGACCCCAUCCCCAGAACCCUGCAUUGGGGGCUGGAUCCCACAUCCCCGUGGGACCCCAUCCCCAGGGCCCCACAGUGGGGUGUUGGAUCCCACAGCCUUGGAGGACCCCAUCCCCAGCAUUUUGGGGAGACAUGGUUUUCUAUGCUUGGAAACUCUCCCAAGCCUGCAAAGACUUAUUUACCUACUUAAGAUUAUUCACGAGUAGUCCCAUUGACUUCAGUGUGACUACUCAUGUUAAAAAUUAAACAUGUGUAAAUCUGAUAUUGGCACUACGGUCUCUUUAAUUGAAAUCAGGGUCUUCAAGAUGGAAUGUAAUCUGCAGGUGAAGUCAAUGAGUCACUAGACCAAGCUACCCUCUCUCAUUGGUGUCUGUAGAUGUAUUUAGUCUCUGGAGUUUUAUUAUAAAUAGUACAAUUGCAUAGGUAGUUUGGUAGUGGUACUUGUCCUACUUUUACUUUACAGUGGCUAUAGGCCUUUCAGGUAAGGAGUGGUAGUUGUGCACAAUGUCCUAUUUGCAAUUAUUUGAUGGUUUUUAUAUGUGGUAGCUGAGUGUCUUCCCAGAGUGCAUUCAGUAAUGUGACUAGUAUUUGUUAUCUCAUUAAAUACUACUUUUUUUUUAAUAAUUCAUCCCACAGAUUAAGGUAUUAACUAGAUAUUGAAAUAUCUAAAAAUACUAAAUUAAGAGCUAAAUUACUUGGUUUAAGCUUGUCUUGCUUCUAGGGAGUGUUCUUCUCUCCCAGCUGUACAGCCUGCACUCUGAGAAGGAUAGAGAUGUUUUGAGCUAGUCUGUCUGUAUGCAACAAGCUUGUAAAUUCCAUUCUUCCUUUUUGUGUUGUCUGCCUUAAUAGCAGAGAUGCAGCUUUCUUCAGUUCCCUUUCUAAGGAAGAAGAUAGACUAUGCCAGGGGAGAUCCUCUGUGUCUCCGGCUCUACAGUAGCAAGAGAAAGGAGGGUUACUCUACCUACAUAUAUAAAGUCCUAAAGCAAACUCAUCAAGUCUCAGGGGUUUCCUGCUGGAUUGCUGAUGUCAUAAAUUCUCUGGAUAAACCACAGUUGUUUGGGAAAGUUGCAUUAGAAGCUGCCAGGUUGUCUCUCUACAACAAGAGAAGCCUCAUUACCUGCAGGGAGGUCCAUGCUGCAAUGAAGUUAGUGCUUCUGCAUGAGCU